RNAcentral lists this microRNA precursor (105 nucleotides) under Marmota monax (woodchuck). Lineage: Eukaryota; Metazoa; Chordata; Mammalia; Rodentia; Sciuridae. The record is from RNAcentral.
AUGCAGAUUGUCUAAAAAUCUUGGUAAAAUGCAGAUUCUGAUUGAACUUAUCUGGGAUGAGCAUCAGGGUUCUGCAUUUCUAACAAACUCCCAGGUAGUACCAAA